CUCGUAGGCGGUUCGGUAAGUCGGGUGUGAAAACCUUGGGCUCAACCCAAGGACUGCAUCCGAUACUGCUGUGACUUGAGUCCGGUAGGGGAGUGGGGAAUUCCUGGUGUAGCGGUGGAGUGCGCAGAUAUCAGGAGGAACACCGGUGGCGAAGGCGCCACUCUGGGCCGGUACUGACGCUGAGGAGCGAAAGCGUGGGGAGCGAACA
This 208-nucleotide ribosomal RNA is filed under the name uncultured bacterium. RNAcentral's name for it is "partial 16S ribosomal RNA". It matches the Rfam family "Bacterial small subunit ribosomal RNA", at positions 568 to 774 of the family's 1533-position model. The record is from RNAcentral.